GAACUGUUGAGGAGUCCCAUAAUAGGACGAAAUGGCCGUCCAGUGC
This is a non-coding RNA of Schistosoma rodhaini, 46 nucleotides long. The record is from Rfam. NCBI's taxonomy places the organism in Eukaryota, Metazoa, Platyhelminthes, Trematoda, Strigeidida, Schistosomatidae.